Molecule: ribosomal RNA, 274 nt
Filed under: uncultured bacterium
Lineage: Bacteria
Description: partial 16S ribosomal RNA
Rfam family: Bacterial small subunit ribosomal RNA
Source: RNAcentral
AUACAGAGGGUGCAAGCGUUAAUCGGAUUUACUGGGCGUAAAGCGCGCGUAGGCGGCUAAUUAAGUCAAAUGUGAAAUCCCCGAGCUUAACUUGGGAAUUGCAUUCGAUACUGGUUAGCUAGAGUGUGGGAGAGGAUGGUAGAAUUCCAGGUGUAGCGGUGAAAUGCGUAGAGAUCUGGAGGAAUACCGAUGGCGAAGGCAGCCAUCUGGCCUAUCACUGACGCUGAGGUGCGAAAGCAUGGGGAGCAAACAGGAUUAGAUACCCCAGUAGUCC